GACGAACGCUGGCGGCGUGCUUAACACAUGCAAGUCGAACGGAAAGGCCUGCUUUCCCUUGUGGAUUGCGGGUACUCGAGUGGCGAACGGGUGAGUAACACGUGAGUGAUCUGCCCCCAACUUGGGUAUAAGCCUGGGAAACUGGGUCUAAUUCCCGAUAGGACUGCAGGGUGGUGCCUGUGGUGGAAAACGAUUUUCUAGUGGUUGGGGAUGAGCUCGCGGCCUAUCAGCUUGUUGGUGGGGUAAUGGCCUACCAAGGCGGCGACGGGUAGCCGGCCUGGGAGGGUGGACGGCCACAUUGGGACUGAGAUACGGCCCAGACUACUACGGGAGGCAGCAGUGGGGAAUAUGGCACAAUGGGCGGAAGCCUGAUGCAGCGACGCCGCGUGGGGGAUGACGGCCUUCGGGUUGUAAACUCCUUUCGACCGCGAGGAAGCCACCUGGUUGGAAGGGUGGUGACGGUAGUGGUAGAAGAAGCACCGGCUAACUACGUG
Molecule: ribosomal RNA, 494 nt
Filed under: uncultured bacterium
Lineage: Bacteria
Description: partial 16S ribosomal RNA
Rfam family: Bacterial small subunit ribosomal RNA
Source: RNAcentral